RNAcentral lists this transfer RNA (73 nucleotides) under Ailuropoda melanoleuca (giant panda). It matches the Rfam family "tRNA". Rfam says of the family: Transfer RNA (tRNA) molecules are approximately 80 nucleotides in length. Their secondary structure includes four short double-helical elements and three loops (D, anti-codon, and T loops). The record is from Rfam by way of RNAcentral. Lineage: Eukaryota; Metazoa; Chordata; Mammalia; Carnivora; Ursidae.
GCCUGGCUGGCUCAGUUGGUAAAGCAUGCAACUCUUGAUCAUGGGGUUGUGAGUUCGAGCCCCACGCUGGGUG